RNAcentral lists this ribosomal RNA (484 nucleotides) under uncultured bacterium. Its description in RNAcentral is "partial 16S ribosomal RNA". It matches the Rfam family "Bacterial small subunit ribosomal RNA", at positions 30 to 507 of the family's 1533-position model. The record is from RNAcentral.
AUUGAACGCUGGCGGCAGGCCUAACACAUGCAAGUCGAGCGGAUGAAGGGAGCUUGCUCCUGGAUUCAGCGGCGGACGGGUGAGUAAUGCCUAGGAAUCUGCCUGGUAGUGGGGGAUAACGUCCGGAAACGGGCGCUAAUACCGCAUACGUCCUGAGGGAGAAAGUGGGGGAUCUUCGGACCUCACGCUAUCAGAUGAGCCUAGGUCGGAUUAGCUAGUUGGUGGGGUAAAGGCCUACCAAGGCGACGAUCCGUAACUGGUCUGAGAGGAUGAUCAGUCACACUGGAACUAAGACACGGUCCAGACUCCUACGGGAGGCAGCAGUGGGGAAUAUUGGACAAUGGGCGAAAGCCUGAUCCAGCCAUGCCGCGUGUGUGAAGAAGGUCUUCGGAUUGUAAAGCACUUUAAGUUGGGAGGAAGGGCAGUAAGUUAAUACCUUGCUGUUUUGACGUUACCGACAGAAUAAGCACCGGCUAACUUCGUG